UGAAUUUCUAUCGUCACCUC
Molecule: small nuclear RNA, 20 nt
Filed under: Arabidopsis thaliana (thale cress)
Lineage: Eukaryota; Viridiplantae; Streptophyta; Magnoliopsida; Brassicales; Brassicaceae
Description: snRNA_13531
Source: RNAcentral